GAUGAACGCUGGCGGCGUGCCUAAUACAUGCAAGUCGAACGCGCAGCGAAAGGUGCUUGCACCCUUCAAGUGAGUGGCGAACGGGUGAGUAACACGUGGAUAACCUGCCUCAAGGCUGGGGAUAACAUUUGGAAACAGAUGCUAAUACCGAAUAAAACUUAGUAUCGCAUGAUACAAAGUUGAAAGGCGCUACGGCGUCACCUAGAGAUGGGUCCGCGGUGCAUUAGUUAGUUGGUGGGGUAAAGGCCUACCAAGACAAUGAUGCAUAGCCGAGUUGAGAGACUGAUCGGCCACAUUGGGACUGAGACACGGCCCAAACUCCUACGGGAGGCUGCAGUAGGGAAUCUUCCACAAUGGGCGAAAGCCUGAUGGAGCAACGCCGCGUGUGUGAUGAAGGCUUUAGGGUCGUAAAGCACUGUUGUAUGGGAAGAAAUGCUAGAAUAGGGAAUGAUUCUAGUUCGACGGUACCAUACCAGAAAGGGACGGCUAAAUAC
This 494-nucleotide ribosomal RNA is filed under the name uncultured bacterium. Its description in RNAcentral is "bacterial SSU rRNA". It matches the Rfam family "Bacterial small subunit ribosomal RNA", at positions 28 to 504 of the family's 1533-position model. The record is from RNAcentral.